GAUGAACGCUGGCGGCGUGCCUAAUACAUGCAAGUCGAGCGAACGGACGAGAAGCUUGCUUCUCUGAUGUUAGCGGCGGACGUGUGAGUAACACGUGGAUAACCUACCUAUAGGACUGGGAUAACUUCGGGAAACCCGAGCUAAUACCGUAUAAUAUUUUGAACCGCAUGGUUCAAAAGUGAAAGACGGUCUUGCUGUUACUUAUAGAUGGAUCCGCGCUGCAUUAGCUAGUUGGUAAGGUAACGGCUUACCAAGGCAACGAUGCAUAGCCGAGCUGAGAGGGUGAUCAGCCACACUGGAACUGAGACACGGUCCAGACUCCUACGGGAGGCAGCAGUAGGGAAUCUUGCGCAAUGGGCGAAAGCCUGACGGAGCAACGCCGCGUGAGUGAUGAAGGUCUUCGGAUCGUAAAACUCUGUUAUUAGGGAAGAACAUAUGUGUAAGUAACUGUGCACAUCUUGACGGUACCUAAUCAGAAAGCCACGGCUAACUACGUG
This 497-nucleotide ribosomal RNA is filed under the name uncultured bacterium. RNAcentral describes it as "partial 16S ribosomal RNA". It matches the Rfam family "Bacterial small subunit ribosomal RNA", at positions 28 to 507 of the family's 1533-position model. The record is from RNAcentral.